Molecule: long non-coding RNA, 415 nt
Organism: Harmonia axyridis
Lineage: Eukaryota; Metazoa; Arthropoda; Insecta; Coleoptera; Coccinellidae
Exons: 4
Source: RefSeq, a predicted model, not a curated record
AAAACGUUUUGGCAGUUCAUAUUGAAUAAAUUUCAUAAAAUAUAUGAUACAAAGUGUCUCCUCAACUCAGCUAUGGAUUUGUGAGAUAUGAAAUCCAAAAUUCGAAAAAUAAGAAAGUAAUAAGAGAAUAUUCAAAAUCAUUUUCUUGAUAAAUAUGUCAAAUCCAUUAUAUCUGUCCAUUGGAAUUCUGGGGAAGGUGGAAGAGGUGCACUUUGGAUGCUCUGGCUGGGUGAUUGAGGAGGUGCACUAACACCAGGUGCCAUUGUUGGCAUUAGGCAGUCAUAUCAGCUGAUUGUACUUGAGUUGCAGCAACUGCAUGGAAAUGAGCGUGUGAAACAGGAUAUGGGGUGGCAGCAGUCCAAACACCAGGGGCUGCAGCAUUAUGAAGUCUCAUUCCUUGGCCUCUCAUCAUCGA